This 1347-nucleotide ribosomal RNA is filed under the name uncultured bacterium. Its description in RNAcentral is "bacterial SSU rRNA". It matches the Rfam family "Bacterial small subunit ribosomal RNA", at positions 28 to 1381 of the family's 1533-position model. The record is from RNAcentral.
GACGAUUGCUGGCGGCGUGCUUAACACAUGCAAGUCGAACGAUGAAGCCUAGCUUGCUAGGUGGAUUAGUGGCGAACGGGUGAGUAAUACGUGAGUAACCUACCUUUAACUCUGGGAUAAGCCUGGGAAACUGGGUCUAAUACCGGAUACGACCAAUCUCCGCAUGGGGUGUUGGUGGAAAGCGUUAUGUAGUGGUUAUAGAUGGGCUCACGGCCUAUCAGCUUGUUGGUGAGGUAACGGCUCACCAAGGCGACGACGGGUAGCCGGCCUGAGAGGGUGACCGGCCACACUGGGACUGAGACACGGCCCAGACUCCUACGGGAGGCAGCAGUGGGGAAUAUUGCACAAUGGGCGCAAGCCUGAUGCAGCGACGCCGCGUGAGGGAUGACGGCCUUCGGGUUGUAAACCUCUGUUAGCAGGGAAGAAGAGAGAUUGACGGUACCUGCAGAGAAAGCGCCGGCUAACUACGUGCCAGCAGCCGCGGUAAUACGUAGGGCGCGAGCGUUGUCCGGAAUUAUUGGGCGUAAAGAGCUUGUAGGCGGUUUGUCGCGUCUGCUGUGAAGGCCGGGGCUUAACUCCGUGUAUUGCAGUGGGUACGGGCAGACUAGAGUGCAGUAGGGGAGACUGGAAUUCCUGGUGUAGCGGUGGAAUGCGCAGAUAUCAGGAGGAACACCGAUGGCGAAGGCAGGUCUCUGGGCUGUAACUGACGCUGAGAAGCGAAAGCAUGGGGAGCGAACAGGAUUAGAUACCCUGGUAGUCCAUGCCGUAAACGUUGGGCACUAGGUGUGGGGGACAUUCCACGUUUUCCGCGCCGUAGCUAACGCAUUAAGUGCCCCGCCUGGGGAGUACGGCCGCAAGGCUAAAACUCAAAGAAAUUGACGGGGGCCCGCACAAGCGGCGGAGCAUGCGGAUUAAUUCGAUGCAACGCGAAGAACCUUACCAAGGCUUGACAUAUACUGGACCGCAUCAGAGAUGGUGUUUCCCUUCGGGGCUGGUAUACAGGUGGUGCAUGGUUGUCGUCAGCUCGUGUCGUGAGAUGUUGGGUUAAGUCCCGCAACGAGCGCAACCCUCGUUCUAUGUUGCCAGCACGUUAUGGUGGGGACUCAUAGGAGACUGCCGGGGUCAACUCGGAGGAAGGUGGGGAUGACGUCAAAUCAUCAUGCCCCUUAUGUCUUGGGCUUCACGCAUGCUACAAUGGCCGGUACAGAGGGUUGCGAUACUGUGAGGUGGAGCUAAUCCCUAAAAGCCGGUCUCAGUCCGGAUUGGGGUCUGCAACUCGACCCCAUGAAGUCGGAGUCGCUAGUAAUCGCAGAUCAGCAACGCUGCGGUGAAUACGUUCCCGGGCCU